Molecule: ribosomal RNA, 221 nt
Filed under: uncultured bacterium
Lineage: Bacteria
Description: partial 16S ribosomal RNA
Rfam family: Bacterial small subunit ribosomal RNA
Source: RNAcentral
GACGAACGCUGGCGGCGUGCUUAACACAUGCAAGUCGAGCGGUAAGGCCCUUUCGGGGGUACACGAGCGGCGAACGGGUGAGCAACACGUGGGUGACCUGCCCUCAGCUCUGGGAUAAGCCUGGGAAACCGGGUCUAAUACCGGAUAUGACUCCAUGACGCAUGUUGUGGGGUGGAAAGCCUUGUGCGGCUGAGGAUGGGCCCGCGGCCUAUCAGCUUGUU